Non-coding RNA from Jatropha curcas, 135 nucleotides. NCBI's taxonomy places the organism in Eukaryota, Viridiplantae, Streptophyta, Magnoliopsida, Malpighiales, Euphorbiaceae. The record is from RefSeq and is a predicted model, not a curated record.
UGUAAAAAGCAACAGCUUGACAUCAUAAUCAGCAUACAACAUGAUAUUAGCAUGAAAGGACAUAGGUUCAACCAGAUUGUAGCGUCUCAGCUCGGUUCAUUUGAGUUAACGGGUGAACCGGGAAGGGAUGUUACA